This 38-nucleotide ribosomal RNA is filed under the name Acacia adsurgens. RNAcentral's name for it is "partial 18S ribosomal RNA". Lineage: Eukaryota; Viridiplantae; Streptophyta; Magnoliopsida; Fabales; Fabaceae. The record is from RNAcentral.
GGUUGAUCCUGCCAGUAGUCAUAUGCUUGUCUCAAAGA